Eptesicus fuscus (big brown bat) is the source of this 459-nucleotide long non-coding RNA. RefSeq lists it as uncharacterized. The record is from RefSeq and is a predicted model, not a curated record. The transcript has 3 exons. Lineage: Eukaryota; Metazoa; Chordata; Mammalia; Chiroptera; Vespertilionidae.
GCACCACUGGGAUCCCCAAUAAGCCUAUACCCGCAGCACCAGGAAUUGUAUCCUGAACCCCUACCACAAAGGUUGCAGCAGUAUGGGGAAACUAAAUAUCCACAUGCAAAAGAAUGAGAUUGGACCCUUACUUCACACUUUAUUCAAAAAUUAACUCAACAUGGAUUAAAGACCUAAAGAGACAGAGGUUUAUUUUAAAAAAUUGAAUCAUGUGUUUGUGGGGGCUGGCAAAUCCAAAUUCUGCAGAGGAUACCAGCAACUGGAGACCCAAGGAAGAGUUGGUGUUGGAGCUCAAGUCCAAAGGCAGUCUGCAUCAACAUUCCUUCUUCCUUGGGGGAACCUCAGCUUUUUUCCUUAAGAUCUUCAAUAAGUUGUGUGUGUGUGUUUAAUUGACUUCAUCAUAGAUUACAGGGGGAAAGGGAAGGAAGAUGAAAUGAGAAUAAGAAAGUAAAAUUUAAA